RNAcentral lists this ribosomal RNA (424 nucleotides) under uncultured bacterium. RNAcentral's name for it is "bacterial SSU rRNA". It matches the Rfam family "Bacterial small subunit ribosomal RNA", at positions 357 to 773 of the family's 1533-position model. The record is from RNAcentral.
GGGAAUAUUGCACAAUGGGCGCAAGCCUGAUGCAGCCAUGCCGCGUGUGUGAAGAAGGCCUUCGGGUUGUAAAGCACUUUCAGCGAGGAGGAAGGCAGUCGUGUUAAUAGCACGAUUGAUUGACGUUACUCGCAGAAGAAGCACCGGCUAACUCCGUGCCAGCAGCCGCGGUAAUACGGAGGGUGCAAGCGUUAAUCGGAAUUACUGGGCGUAAAGCGCACGCAGGCGGUUUGUUAAGUCAGAUGUGAAAUCCCCGCGCUUAACGUGGGAACUGCAUUCGAAACUGGCAAGCUAGAGUCUUGUAGAGGGGGGUAGAAUUCCAGGUGUAGCGGUGAAAUGCGUAGAGAUCUGGAGGAAUACCGGUGGCGAAGGCGGCCCCCUGGACAAAGACUGACGCUCAGGUGCGAAAGCGUGGGGAGCAAAC